RNAcentral lists this ribosomal RNA (1465 nucleotides) under Prochlorococcus sp. AG-686-P11. Its description in RNAcentral is "bacterial SSU rRNA". It matches the Rfam family "Bacterial small subunit ribosomal RNA". RNAcentral also lists the same sequence under 1 other name. Lineage: Bacteria; Bacillati; Cyanobacteriota; Cyanophyceae; Synechococcales; Prochlorococcaceae. The record is from RNAcentral.
AGAGUUUGAUCCUGGCUCAGGAUGAACGCUGGCGGCGUGCUUAACACAUGCAAGUCGAACGAACCUUCGGGUUAGUGGCGGACGGGUGAGUAACGCGUGAGAAUCUGCCCUCAGGAGGGGGAUAACGGUUGGAAACGACCGCUAAUACCCCAUAUGCCGAUAGGUGAAAUGAAUUUCGCCUGAGGAUGAGCUCGCGUCUGAUUAGCUUGUUGGUGAGGUAAUGGCUCACCAAGGCUUCGAUCAGUAGCUGGUCUGAGAGGAUGAUCAGCCACACUGGGACUGAGACACGGCCCAGACUCCUACGGGAGGCAGCAGUGGGGAAUUUUCCGCAAUGGGCGAAAGCCUGACGGAGCAACGCCGCGUGAGGGACGAAGGCCUCUGGGCUGUAAACCUCUUUUCUCAAGGAAGAAGAUAUGACGGUACUUGAGGAAUAAGCCACGGCUAAUUCCGUGCCAGCAGCCGCGGUAAUACGGGAGUGGCAAGCGUUAUCCGGAAUUAUUGGGCGUAAAGCGUCCGCAGGCGGCCUUUCAAGUCUGCUGUUAAAGCGUGGAGCUUAACUCCAUUAAGGCAGUGGAAACUGAUUGGCUUGAGUAUGGUAGGGGCAGAGGGAAUUCCCGGUGUAGCGGUGAAAUGCGUAGAUAUCGGGAAGAACACCAGUGGCGAAGGCGCUCUGCUGGGCCAUUACUGACGCUCAUGGACGAAAGCCAGGGGAGCGAAAGGGAUUAGAUACCCCUGUAGUCCUGGCCGUAAACGAUGAACACUAGGUGUCGGGGGAAUCGACCCCUUCGGUGUCGUAGCUAACGCGUUAAGUGUUCCGCCUGGGGAGUACGCACGCAAGUGUGAAACUCAAAGGAAUUGACGGGGGCCCGCACAAGCGGUGGAGUAUGUGGUUUAAUUCGAUGCAACGCGAAGAACCUUACCAGGGUUUGACAUCCUGAGAACCUCUUAGAAAUUUGAGGGUGCCUUCGGGAAUUCAGUGACAGGUGGUGCAUGGCUGUCGUCAGCUCGUGUCGUGAGAUGUUGGGUUAAGUCCCGCAACGAGCGCAACCCACGUUUUUAGUUGCCAGCAUUUAGUUGGGCACUCUAGAAAGACCGCCGGUGAUAAACCGGAGGAAGGUGUGGAUGACGUCAAGUCAUCAUGCCCCUUACACCCUGGGCUACACACGUACUACAAUGCUACGGACAAAGGGCAGCAAACUCGCGAGAGCUAGCAAAUCCCAUAAACCGUGGCUCAGUUCAGAUCGUAGGCUGCAACUCGCCUACGUGAAGUAGGAAUCGCUAGUAAUCGCAGGUCAGCAUACUGCGGUGAAUACGUUCCCGGGCCUUGUACACACCGCCCGUCACACCAUGGAAGUUGGCCAUGCCCGAAGUCGUUACUCCAACCCUUGUGGAGGAGGACGCCGAAGGUGGGGCUAAUGACUGGGGUGAAGUCGUAACAAGGUAGCCGUACCGGAAGGUGCGGCUG